UUUUUUUUAAAAUGAUAUUUAUUAAAGUUUCAAAGAAUACAAAAACAAAAAAUAAAAAUACAAGAAAAUACAAAAUACAGAAAAAAGAAUAAAGUUUUUAAGAUAUAACAAAAAAAAGAAAAAUAAAGAAAAACAUACAAGAUAAAAACAGUUAAAAACACGUUAACUUUCCAUAGCAUAUCUUCCUUACACUUAUUUCCCUGGACCUCCUCAUACCUCCCUUUUUUGUAUUCCAGUUCAGUUUGUUAGUUCAGCAAAUCCUUACCAUUAAGCUUUUACCCAUUUGUAAACCUUUUUUCGUAUCUCUUAAAGCAUUACAGCUGGAAACCACUUAGUUUCUAUCCAACAUCCUUCUAAGAUUCCUUAAUU
Molecule: non-coding RNA, 369 nt
Organism: Podarcis lilfordi (Lilford's wall lizard)
Lineage: Eukaryota; Metazoa; Chordata; Lepidosauria; Squamata; Lacertidae
Source: the annotation of a GenBank genome assembly